Molecule: long non-coding RNA, 2481 nt
Filed under: Zea mays
Lineage: Eukaryota; Viridiplantae; Streptophyta; Magnoliopsida; Poales; Poaceae
Description: long non-coding RNA (ZMAY_LNC003450)
Source: RNAcentral
GUCCCACUUGCUAGAUGUCACACCCGGGUUUCGGGGCACCAAGACACGCGCGCGAACAUAAUCACCAGGUGUGCUAGGACCAAGUCUCACACAUAUGAUGAAUCAUGCCACAGGAUUGAAUGUCUCAUCUUUACUCUAUUAUAGGAGUUCUAUACAAAAUAAAUAAAUAAAUACAUUAUAAGGAGACAACGGUCUAGCAUCCCAAAGUUGACUGGGAGACGACGACCUAGACCUCUCACGAACUCGUCACAGCAUCCUCCAAGCGCCUCAUCCUGUUGUACCUGUUCUUGACCUGUGGGGGGUGUGAGACAGCAAGAGUGAGCUCACAUAUGUUCAUAGCUCAACAAGUUGUGGGGAAUAAUGUGUAUGAACUUGCCAAAGGUGGGAGCUCAUGUGAAGUGUAAGGCUUACCAAAGAGGAUGGUUAGAGCUGAGCAUUGCUUUUAAAGUUGGUCAAAAUUUUAUUAGCAGUUACUAAGUAUAAGUAAAUACCAACCCAAUUAAGUAGUAGAACAAAAGUAAUAACAACACAUUCAAUGCAAUGCAUAUGACAAAUUGAAUUUAGUUCCAUAAAUUAAUCAUGUGAGUGUCUGAGCUGCUCAUGACUGUGAGCACGGCUAGUAUACCAGUUUUACACUCUACAGACGUUGCACAUCUUUACCCACAAGUCAUGUUACCCAUCUGCCAAGCGACGGCCAAUCCCAUACACCUCUACCGAGGAGGCGAGGCAGGGUAACGCUACGAGGCCUUUACAAAGUUCCACUAGCUUCAGAAAACCCGCUAUAGUUUCUAGGAAGCUCCAAUGCAGGUAUCCCUCGCCUGACCGCCAUCGCAGCAAAAUCAACCCAAGGACCUCCCUACACUGACCACUCCCCUACUGCCCUUGCUUCUUUUGGGUAAGGUAGUCCUCCACUAGCUUUUCUAAUUAGUCAACCAAGGGCGUCCCAUACCAUCCUUGUGGUAGCACUAUUUUCCCGGGUGGUUCUCCAUGUUCCAAUUAACAUAAUGAUCUUAACAUGAACAGUAAAUAACAACUGAUAAUAAGAUUAUGAUCAUGAAUAAAGUGUAUCUCUAUACCCAAAACCAUAUAAAACAAUAGCAGGUACUACACAAAAAUUCAGUCGUAAACAAGGUGUAAAGAUAGUCAAACUAGGGUAACCUAUUGGGUCCCAAAAAAAUUAACCUAUGCAGAUCAUUAUGGUAAAUCAGAACAUGACUUGGUAAAAAGAAGUGAUCAAGGGCACAACUUGCCCGGGACUUGAGAUUCCAGGUACCAACUUGCUCUUCAGAUGACACGUGUCCUCACUGCUAAACGUAACAUUACAGACAAACAUGGUAUAGGCAAAAUUAACAUUACACCAAACAUAAGUACAAACUACAUAAUAGUAAUCUAUGCGUCACUACGAGAUCGUGGGACUAAGAACUACUAAAUUCGGAGCUACAGUUAAGUAGUUAUGAUUUAUGGAAGAUCUAUGAGUAAGUAAAACUAGACCUCAGAUUGAUUCUAUAAAUCAUGUGAGAUAUACCUUAAGGAUUGACUUUAAUAUGGGUCCUAUCUUAGUUAAAGUUCAUCACAUUAUAUUUAUGAACAUAUUACUUUAAUUAGAUAGAUUAAUCUACCAGACAUAGGUUAAAUGAUUUUCCAAUUAUAAAAGUAUGGGAUAAGGCAUAAAUUAGUGUUGUAUUACAUAGACAAAAUUAUUAUGGACCUAGUGCAAUUUAAAAGGACCAAAUCGGAGUUAAAAUAAGGGAGUUAUGAAUUUUACAAGUUUCUGGACAUAUAAAUAUUAUUUUUUUAUUCCUAAAAUAAUUUCCAGGGUUUUAUCCAUUUAUUAUGAAUUAAAAUGGACUGCGGGUAUAAUUAGUAAAGAAGACAUGGUCUAAAGUGAAAGAUUAUAGGACCCGCUGGUAGGACUCUUUCCACAUCGAUGGACUGCGAGUUGUUUAUAGUUAAAUAGGAGGUCUCUUUUGCAAAACGUGCUAGCUGAAGGGGUAAGGAGUGUUUAGGGCCAUCCGAUUACGAUCCAGUGGUCCGGAUUCAAUCCCCCCAUAAUCGAACCGUACGCAUCCACGGCCGCACGCUCCGCGAUCAACGGCCCAGCAGUAGCCACACCAUGAUCACACCAGAACAGCCCGUAUCCGUUGGUUUGGUUAUCAACGGUUCAGAUCAAUCCGCACGAAGAGGUAUCCUCAGCUUCUAAUCUGGCGCGCUAGCAUAAGAUCCAAUGGCGGCUGAUCAAACACCUUCUUCACCUCCCCAGACGGAAAACACGGCGGUAUGGAUAGCCCCCAUGGCGGAGCCAUGGCCGGCUAUGGCCGUCCCGCGCAACGGUGCUCCAAGCUCAAAACCGAAUGCCGCAAAAUCACAUGGAGGACAAAGCAAAGGUGCCAGGGGACUUUUUACCUGGAUAUAGGACGCUCACAUAUCCCACCCACGGUACAGGUGGCUCCGCGGCGGCGCCCCCAGGUUCAUCGAUGAAUU